RNAcentral lists this ribosomal RNA (635 nucleotides) under Osmundea pinnatifida. RNAcentral describes it as "LSU rRNA". It matches the Rfam family "Eukaryotic large subunit ribosomal RNA", at positions 1283 to 1900 of the family's 3401-position model. The record is from RNAcentral. Lineage: Eukaryota; Rhodophyta; Florideophyceae; Ceramiales; Rhodomelaceae.
UAACAACUCACCUGCCGAAUGAAUUAGCCCUGAAAAUGGAUGGCGCUCAAGCGGGCAGCCGACACCACGCCGUCUAAACAAAAUAUGUUUUAGAUGAGUAGGAGGAACGUGGCGGUUGUACAGAAGCAUGUCCGCAAGGAUGUGUGGAACGGCCGCUAGUGCAGAUCUUGGUGGUAGUAGCAAAUAUUCAAAUGCGAUCCUUGAAGGGCCACGCGGGGAAGGGUUCCACGCGAACAUUGAUUGAGCGUGGGUGAGUCGUUCCUAAGCCGUCUGGUAAUAGCUAGGCAUCGGCGAAAGGGAAGCAGGUUGAUUUUCCUGCACACAGAACGUAGAUGCGGUGACGCACGUCGGGCCAGAGAAGUUGUUGUAGAUUCGCUGGGCAGAGAUUUCUUUUCUGUUUGACGCCACUGUACUCUGUGGAAUCCGCUUGUCGGGAGAAACAGGUACCACAAGGCAGGAGCGCCGGAAUUUUUCUGGCGUCCGGCUUGAGUCCAACAACCCUUGAAAAUCUGGUCGCUGGCCUAUGCAUUUUGAACUUCGGUUCAAUCAAGAUAGGUGGAAAACUUCUACUCUGUAACGUACCCAUAUCCGCAUCAGGUCCCCAAGGUGAACAGCCUCUGCUCAAUAUGAAAAAU